AGACUACGACGUUGAUAGGCCGCAGGUCUACGCGCUGAGAGGCGUUGAGCUGAGCGGUACUAAUCGCCCAAGAACUUACA
RNAcentral lists this ribosomal RNA (80 nucleotides) under Arundinibacter roseus. RNAcentral's name for it is "Cytophaga sp. DMA-K-7a partial 23S ribosomal RNA". The record is from RNAcentral. Lineage: Bacteria; Pseudomonadati; Bacteroidota; Cytophagia; Cytophagales; Spirosomataceae.